GACCCAAAUCAGGUAAGGACACCCGCUGAACUUAAGCAUAGCAAUAAGCGGAGGAAAAGAAAAUAACAAUGAUUCCCCUAGUAACUGCGAGUGAAGAGGGACAAGCUCAAAUUUUAAAUCUGUUAGGUUUACCUGACCGAGUUGUAAUUUGAAGAAGCGUUACCUGCGCGGUUGGUCAGCCCAAGUCCUAUUGAAUGAGGCAUCAUGGAGGGUGAUAAUCCCGUCCGGUUGAUCGAUGCGUUUUACGAUACGCUCUCAAAGAGUCAAGUUGUUUGGGAUUGCAGCUUAAAAUGGGAGGUAAAUUUCUCCUAAGGCUAAAUAUUGGCGAGAGACCGAUAGCGAACAAGUACCGUGAGGGAAAGAUGAAAAGUACUUUGAAAAGAGAGUUAAAUAGCACGUGAAAUUGUUGAAAGGGAAACGAUUGAAG
Molecule: ribosomal RNA, 427 nt
Filed under: uncultured Glomus
Lineage: Eukaryota; Fungi; Glomeromycota; Glomeromycetes; Glomerales; Glomeraceae
Description: eukaryotic LSU rRNA
Rfam family: Eukaryotic large subunit ribosomal RNA
Source: RNAcentral